GACGAACGCUGGCGGCGUGCUUAACACAUGCAAGUCGAACGGAAAGGCCCUGCUUGCGGGGUACUCGAGUGGCGAACGGGUGAGUAACACGUGGGUGGUCUGCCCUGCUCUUCGGGUUAGGCCUGUGCAACUGGGUCUAAUUCCUGAUAGGAGCCAUUUUUAGUGUGAUGGUUGGAAAGUUUUUUCGGUUCUGGCUGAGCUGGCGGCCUAUCGGCUUGUUGGGGGGGUGAUGGCCUACCGAGGCGGCGAAGGGUAGCCGGACUGCGUGGGUGGACGGCCACACAGAGACUGAGAGGAGGCCCAGACUCCGACGGGAGGGAGAAGGGGGGAAGACUGAACGAGGGGCGCAAGCCGGAUGCAGCAAGGCUGCGUGGGGGAUGACGGCCUUCGGGUUGAAGAAUACUUUCGCUAGGGACGAAGCUUUUUGUGACGGUACCUAGACAGGAAGCACCGGCUAACUACGUG
This 465-nucleotide ribosomal RNA is filed under the name uncultured bacterium. RNAcentral describes it as "partial 16S ribosomal RNA". It matches the Rfam family "Bacterial small subunit ribosomal RNA", at positions 28 to 507 of the family's 1533-position model. The record is from RNAcentral.